AUAGCUCUUCUCCCCGAAAUAGCUUUAGGGCUAGCCUCAAGGUGAGAGAUACGGAGGUAGAGCACUGAAUGUCCUAGGGGGUAUUGCACCUACCGAAGACUAUCAAACUCCGAAUGCCGUCAUCUUAUACUUGGGAGUCAGACUGUGGGUGAUAAGAUUCAUAGUCGAAAGGGAAACAGCCCAGAUCGUCAGCUAAGGUCCCUAAAUGUAAGUUAAGUGGUAAAGGAUGUGGGAUUGCACAGACAACCAGGAUGUUGGCUUAGAAGCAGCCACUCAUUCAAAGAGUGCGUAAUAGCUCACUGGUCGAGUGAUCCUGCGCCGAAGAUUUCCGGGGCUAAAAC
This 341-nucleotide ribosomal RNA is filed under the name Clostridioides difficile. RNAcentral's name for it is "partial 23S ribosomal RNA". It matches the Rfam family "Bacterial large subunit ribosomal RNA", at positions 845 to 1187 of the family's 2925-position model. The record is from RNAcentral. Lineage: Bacteria; Bacillati; Bacillota; Clostridia; Peptostreptococcales; Peptostreptococcaceae.